Non-coding RNA from Lolium perenne, 966 nucleotides. The record is from RefSeq and is a predicted model, not a curated record. Lineage: Eukaryota; Viridiplantae; Streptophyta; Magnoliopsida; Poales; Poaceae.
UGCCGCUAGGGUUUCGCGGAGCCGCGGUUUCUAGAAGUUUCUGCUCCCCUCCCGCGUGGAACGCGCCCGGGCUCUCCAGCGAUGGGGGAGACGCGGGUUCCGGGCCUGAAGAAGAAGGAGGCGUGGCAGGGCAAGGCGCCGCACGCGAGCAUGAAGGGGUCAAGCAAUGUUGCUCUGGCUGUAUCCGAUGAAGAAUACAAUGAUACCAUACUGCUACACAAGAUAACUCCUGAUGAUAUCUACAAAAAACAAGAGAGUAUCAUCUCAUGGAAGGAUCCUGAAUAGGCAUUAGAAUCAGCUUUGAUCUUUGAAGAACCUGCGGGAUGCUUAUCUAUAUGGGAGACCAUAUGCAAUAUACAGGAAGAACUGCAAGCAUCGCACCAAAAUUUGCAUGUUGUUAAUGGUGAAUUGAAGAAACAACAUUCUGUUGAACUUUUUUCCUCGAAAAAGAGGAAAUACUCUCAGCCUCCACCUCCUUUUGAGUUGUCUGGUCUUUUUUCCAUUUUAAAGAACAUCCAGACUAUACUGCAAUGUGGCAAGAGGGAGCAGAUGCAUGCUGCACAUUCAUCAUCAAAAGAUCAGGAUCCCAACUUGGCGCCUGCAAGGCCAAUGAUCUUAGACGACCUACCUCCAGAUCUUCUCGAGGAGGUUGUCAGGCGUCUGCCAUGCCGUGCGGACCGUGCCCGCCUCAGAUGCUGCAGUAGAUCUGGAGAGAUUCUGUCCAGAACUUCUGUGAGCCACUUCAGCUUCCCUGGCUCUUGCUUCCAUCAUCAGUGGAGCUGUUGUACUAUUCCGUGACUGGAGACAGUUUCAGAAACUAUCGUCCAAUUCCCAUCGAAGUUCAAGAUGCUCGCUUUGCUGGAGCUUCAGACGGCGAUUGGCUAUUUCUUGUAUCUGACAGUCCUCGCAGACACCUGCUAUUUCAUUUGUUCAGCGGGUGGAGCAUCCAGUUACCAAUUGCCAUGA